CGCGUAGGUGGUAGUGUAAGUCUGAGGUGGAAUCCUAUGGCUUAACCAUAGAACUGCCUUGGAUACUGUAUUACUUGAGUCAGUGAGGGGAGGGUAGAAUUCCUGGUGUAGCGGUGAAAUGCGUAGAUAUCAGGAGGAAGGCCUGUGGCGAAGGCGGCCCUCUGGUGCUGGACUGACACUGAGGCGCGAAAGCGUGGGGAGCAAACAGGAUUAGAUACCCUGGUAGUCCACGCCCUAAACGGUGGGCACUAGGUGUAGGGCUCGCAAGGGUUCUGUGCCGAUGGGAAACCAUUAAGUGCCCCGCCUGGGGAGUACGGCCGCAAGGUUGAA
RNAcentral lists this ribosomal RNA (330 nucleotides) under uncultured bacterium. RNAcentral describes it as "bacterial SSU rRNA". It matches the Rfam family "Bacterial small subunit ribosomal RNA", at positions 568 to 898 of the family's 1533-position model. The record is from RNAcentral.